UACGUAGGGGGCUAGCGUUGUCCGGAAUCAUUGGGCGUAAAGCGCGCGUAGGCGGCCCGGUAAGUCCGCUGUGAAAGUCGGGGGCUCAACCCUCGGAUGCCGGUGGAUACUGUCGGGCUAGAGUGCGGAAGAGGCGAGUGGAAUUCCUGGUGUAGCGGUGAAAUGCGCAGAUAUCAGGAGGAACACCAGUGGCGAAGGCGGCGAUCUGGGAAGAUACUGACGCUGAGGUGCGAAAGCGUGGGGAGCAAACAGG
RNAcentral lists this ribosomal RNA (253 nucleotides) under uncultured bacterium. RNAcentral's name for it is "partial 16S ribosomal RNA". It matches the Rfam family "Bacterial small subunit ribosomal RNA", at positions 524 to 776 of the family's 1533-position model. The record is from RNAcentral.